RNAcentral lists this ribosomal RNA (447 nucleotides) under uncultured bacterium. RNAcentral's name for it is "bacterial SSU rRNA". It matches the Rfam family "Bacterial small subunit ribosomal RNA", at positions 355 to 825 of the family's 1533-position model. The record is from RNAcentral.
UCGGGAAUUUUGUGCAAUGGGCGAAAGCCUGACACAGCAACGCCGCGUGAAGGAUGAAGUCCCUCGGGAUGUAAACUUCGUAAGAAUAGGAAGAAUAAAUGACGGUACUAUUUGUAAGGUCCGGCUAACUACGUGCCAGCAGCCGCGGUAAUACGUAGGGACCAAGCGUUGUUCGGAUUUACUGGGCGUAAAGGGUGCGUAGGCGGCAUAUCAAGUCACUUGUGAAAUCUCCGGGCUUAACUCGGAACUGCCAAGUGAUACUGAUGUGCUAGAGUGCAGAAAGGGCAACUGGAAUUCUUGGUGUAGCGGUGAAAUGCGUAGAUAUCAAGAGGAACACCUGAGGCGAAGGCGAGUUGCUAGGCUGACACUGACGCUGAGGUACGAAAGCUAGGGGAGCGAACGGGAUUAGAUACCCGAGUAGUCCCUGAGCGGGCUGGCAAGGCGCAU